CUGUUUGAAUGGUUUUACACUAUUAAUUGUUGGAUCCUUUAUAGCUUGUUGUUCGGUGUGAGCCAAGGUACCUUGUUGAAGGCCGUACAUUGAACUAUAACGGUUUACUUUUUUAAUUUGUUAUUUGGAUGGAGAGUUGUCUCAUUGGCACUCACACCCCAUCUUCCUAUAUCUAUUUUUUUUUAAAAUACACCUAAUAAAACGAACAUAUCUGAAAUAAACACAAUUUCGAAUUGAACAC
This 241-nucleotide long non-coding RNA is filed under the name Mytilus galloprovincialis (Mediterranean mussel). The record is from RNAcentral. Lineage: Eukaryota; Metazoa; Mollusca; Bivalvia; Mytilida; Mytilidae.